CAGGGCAGUCAACAUACAUGCUGGUCACUGCAGCCUAGGGAGAGCCGGGAGCGGCGCCCACACAGGGAGCAUCCAGAGUCAAGCAGGUGGGAUGUGGUUUUCUUUCGACCUGGACGUCCUUCGCAUGUUAACCACAGAGUGGCUUUCACUUCCACAAGGAAAUGUGCUCUCUCCCAGUUCUCUUGAACUGUGAAGCCCUCAGUCCAUCCUCGGUUCCCAUGGAUACAAGCAAGAAGGGCACAAGGAUGGAUGGUAACUGUAGCCGGGAGCCCGUCUGGGAACGCCAAGCAGCGCGGCCAGAUCUGCCAGUUUAUCGACAGCGUCCAGAGGUUCAGAUUUGUGUGUGAGAUCUGGUGUUUGAAUAUUGGCAACUACAUUCGAUUUUUUUUAAUCCUAUUAGAAAAAUAACAAAUGUGGGCCAAAUCCAGCAUGAGGACGGCCAGGGCCCAGCACAGUGAGGAGGUGAGACGCCAGAACGCCAGCAUCACAGCACCGGGCAGGGACAGCAUGGCCAGGGCGGGAGGACGACGACCUCCAGGGAAGGUGCAGGGAAGCCCAGACAGGCAAGAGCGUGUCAAGAAGCUGCCAACAGUGUCAAUCGGGCAGAUAAGGCCGAGGAGUCCCUCGUGGCGUUUCACAACAAGGUGACAUUUGCCAGAUCAGUUUAGCCGAGCUGGGGCGGCUGCCAGGGUUAAAGAGGAACAAGGCGCGAGGGUGGGGAGGAUGUGGAAGGAGAGAGUGCAGACAGCUCUUUUAAGAGACUUGGCUGUGGCGGGCCAAGAGGACCGUCAGGCUCAGCUGAGAGACCAGGGUGUGGGUGGCUGGAGGGGCCUGGGAGGCAUCUGCUGGAGGAUGGUGGUAGAAGAUGGGAGAAGUUGGGAGGGGGCUGUAAGGUGAGAGUGGGGUGGAGGGCAGGGGCAAAUGCGGAACCGUGGAGCCAGAGCUAGCCUAGCGUGGGGCAGGAGCAGAUACCAGGCACCUCCUUGAACUAGCCACCCUCACUCUGUAGGUGUGAUGCAAUCACAUGUCAUUUAAUCAUCAUAACACCUUUGAGAACACAUUAUUAAAGGCAUGUUUCAGAUGAGGGUACUGAGGCUCAGAGAGGAACAGUGACUUGUACAGAGUCAUCCAGGAAUGGCCUGGCCUGCCGCUCCAAGGAUCAAAGGCCAGAGUGUUCCCUGCUGACCCGCCAGCACUCCCCAGCUCCUGUCAUGCGUCCCCCAUCACCUGGGCUCCCAUCCAGACUUUGCCACUCCAUCAGCUGUGUGCCUCUGGGCAAGACACUGCCCCACUUUAAGCCUUGGUUUUCCCAUCUGUAAAGUAAUAGCAUCUGGGAGCAGUGGCUUACACCUGUAAUCCCAGCACUUUGGAAGGCUGAGACGGGUGGAUCACCUGAGGUCAGGAGUUCAAGACCAGCCUGGCCAACGUGGUGAAACCUCAUCUCUACUAAAAAUACAAAAAUUAGCCAGGCGUGGUGACAGGCACUUAUAAUCCCAGCUACUCAGGAGUCUGAGGCAGGAGAAUUGCUUGAACCCAGGAGGCAGAGGUUGUGGUGAGCCGAGAUUGCGCCACUGCACUCCAGCCUGGGUGACAACAGUGAGACUCUGUCUCAAAAAAAUAAUAAUAAUAGCAACCACAAGCUGCAAAGAUCACAGUGUUCCGAAGCUGGGGUGCAAGGCUGUGCGGGUGGAGGCCAUGGGGACUGGGAAGUGAAUGUCCUCGUGCCAGGCAGGGAAGGCCAUUAGCACCCUUGGAGGGGGCAGAGACCAUGGCAGGGGGCUGAGUGGGCAACUGGAGAGGCAGCAGGCAAGGGAGGGGCUUUUCCCAGCUCAGAAUGGCUUGAGCUCAUUUGGAUCAGCAGGGAGGGAGGCGGUGGAGGGCGAGGGACUGUUUUGCCAGAGUAUGGAGGCAGGCACUCAUGAUUCUGCUACUGCCUCUUCAGUGCGGGGCCCCACAUGGCCUUGGUACACACAUAAGGUACACGCCAUCCUCAGAUUCUCCACGCGGCCCUGUUAUAGGAAGGGAGCUGAGGCCCUGGGCUAAAGGGCUGGCCGCAGGUCAACCUUUGAACUUGAGUCUGCCUAAAUCCAAAGCUGACCCUGAGAGUGGAAGAAGAACCCCUCCCAACUGAGGCCUUAAAGGAAGGAGGGGAGUGGACCAGGGUUCUGGGGCUCAUGGUGGAACAAGAACAAGCUCGCUGACUGACAGCCUGGGGGAACUCCGAAAACCAGCACCAGCCGCUUGGGAGAUUGUGCAGGGGGAGCCACUUCCGAGCCAGUAAGGACCCCAGGACCAGCCUGGCCUCUCCUGCUCAGGUUUUGGGGGUACUGGAAGAUCAACUCAGAUUUCACUCAUGUCUCUUGCCACUGACAGAAUGACCACUACUUGGGUACCAGGCAGAUUAGGUAGGUCUCUCGGCUGCAAUUCAAGCUAGUUUAAGCAAAAAUGGGAAUAACUGAACUGAAAAAGUGAAUGGUUUCAAAUCUGGCUGGAUCCAGGUACCCAUGACGGCGACCGGGACCCUCUCUCGUGCUCUCCGUCUCUCCGCUCUGCUGUUCUCGAUGCUGGCUUCAUUCUCAGAAGGCCCUCCCCACUACUGGCAAGGAUGGCCCCCAGCAGCUCCAGACCCAUACCGGGCCAGCUCAGCAGCCCCAGUGGACACAGGGAGCCUUUCUUUUCUUUUCUCUCUCUCUUUUUUUUUUUUUUGAGAUGGCGUCUCACCCUGUGGCCCCGGCUAGAGUGCAGUGGUGUGAUCUCAGCUCACUGCAACCUCCGCCUCCCGGAUUCAAGCACUUCUCCUGCCUCAGCCUCCUGAGUAGCUGGGACUACAGGCGUGUGCCACCAUACCCAGCUAAUUUUUGUAUUUUUAGCAGAGACGAGGUUUCACCAUGUUGGCCAGGAUGGUCUUGAUCUCUUGACCUCGUGAUCUGCUCGCCUCGGCCUCCCAAAGUGGUGUGAUUACAAGCGUGAGCCACCGUGCUCAGCAAGGGAGCCUUUCUUAAUGGCGCCAGCGAAAGUCCCAGGGACAAUGCCCAUUGGACUAACUUGGGUCAUGUGUCUGUCUCUGAAGUAGUCACUGGGUCUGACCCUUCCUGGCUUGGAUGACAUACUCCGGUUUAGAGCUGAAACUGGAAAAUCUGCCAGAAAAUGGGAUGUGGAGCAGGCCUGGCAGGGAUGUCCACGGCACUUCCUCCCCUCAUGCCCAGGGCCCUGCCCCUGACUCCAUUCCCAGACCUCAGAGCUGGAGCAUCUGGAACUUCUGACCAGACUCCAGCCCACUUCACCCCUGCAUGCAGAAAUAGGGAUGCUACAAGGGGAAGUGGGGAGAGUAUGUGGGGUGCUGAAAUGACCUGGGACAGACCUGGGUUCCCAUUCAGACUUUGCCACUCACCAGCUGUGUGUCUCCGGGCAAGUCACUGACUCUCUCUGGGCGUCGGUUUUCCCACCUGUAAAAUAAUAAUAAUAAUAAUAACAACCAACACAUUGACAGCA
Mandrillus leucophaeus (drill) is the source of this 3492-nucleotide long non-coding RNA. RefSeq lists it as uncharacterized. NCBI's taxonomy places the organism in Eukaryota, Metazoa, Chordata, Mammalia, Primates, Cercopithecidae. The record is from RefSeq and is a predicted model, not a curated record. The transcript is spliced from 2 exons.